RNAcentral lists this ribosomal RNA (1458 nucleotides) under uncultured bacterium. Its description in RNAcentral is "bacterial SSU rRNA". It matches the Rfam family "Bacterial small subunit ribosomal RNA". The record is from RNAcentral.
GCGGCAGGCCUAACACAUGCAAGUCGAACGGUAACAGGAAGAAGCUUGCUUCUUUGCUGACGAGUGGCGGACGGGUGAGUAAUGUCUGGGAAACUGCCUGAUGGAGGGGGAUAACUACUGGAAACGGUAGCUAAUACCGCAUAACGUCGCAAGACCAAAGAGGGGGACCUUCGGGCCUCUUGCCAUCGGAUGUGCCCAGAUGGGAUUAGCUUGUUGGUGGGGUAACGGCUCACCAAGGCGACGAUCCCUAGCUGGUCUGAGAGGAUGACCAGCCACACUGGAACUGAGACACGGUCCAGACUCCUACGGGAGGCAGCAGUGGGGAAUAUUGCACAAUGGGCGCAAGCCUGAUGCAGCCAUGCCGCGUGUAUGAAGAAGGCCUUCGGGUUGUAAAGUACUUUCAGCGGGGAGGAAGGGAGUAAAGUUAAUACCUUUGCUCAUUGACGUUACCCGCAGAAGAAGCACCGGCUAACUCCGUGCCAGCAGCCGCGGUAAUACGGAGGGUGCAAGCGUUAAUCGGAAUUACUGGGCGUAAAGCGCACGCAGGCGGUUUGUUAAGUCAGAUGUGAAAUCCCCGGGCUCAACCUGGGAACUGCAUCUGAUACUGGCAAGCUUGAGUCUCGUAGAGGGGGGUAGAAUUCCAGGUGUAGCGGUGAAAUGCGUAGAGAUCUGGAGGAAUACCGGUGGCGAAGGCGGCCCCCUGGACGAAGACUGACGCUCAGGUGCGAAAGCGUGGGGAGCAAACAGGAUUAGAUACCCUGGUAGUCCACGCCGUAAACGAUGUCGACUUGGAGGUUGUGCCCUUGAGGCGUGGCUUCCGGAGCUAACGCGUUAAGUCGACCGCCUGGGGAGUACGGCCGCAAGGUUAAAACUCAAAUGAAUUGACGGGGGCCCGCACAAGCGGUGGAGCAUGUGGUUUAAUUCGAUGCAACGCGAAGAACCUUACCUGGUCUUGACAUCCACGGAAGUUUUCAGAGAUGAGAAUGUGCCUUCGGGAACCGUGAGACAGGUGCUGCAUGGCUGUCGUCAGCUCGUGUUGUGAAAUGUUGGGUUAAGUCCCGCAACGAGCGCAACCCUUAUCCUUUGUUGCCAGCGGUCCGGCCGGGAACUCAAAGGAGACUGCCAGUGAUAAACUGGAGGAAGGUGGGGAUGACGUCAAGUCAUCAUGGCCCUUACGACCAGGGCUACACACGUGCUACAAUGGCGCAUACAAAGAGAAGCGACCUCGCGAGAGCAAGCGGACCUCAUAAAGUGCGUCGUAGUCCGGAUUGGAGUCUGCAACUCGACUCCAUGAAGUCGGAAUCGCUAGUAAUCGUGGAUCAGAAUGCCACGGUGAAUACGUUCCCGGGCCUUGUACACACCGCCCGUCACACCAUGGGAGUGGGUUGCAAAAGAAGUAGGUAGCUUAACCUUCGGGAGAAGGCUUACCACUUUGUGAUUCAUGACUGGGGUGAAGUC